Molecule: ribosomal RNA, 461 nt
Filed under: uncultured bacterium
Lineage: Bacteria
Description: partial 16S ribosomal RNA
Rfam family: Bacterial small subunit ribosomal RNA
Source: RNAcentral
CCUACGGGAGGCAGCAGUGAGGAAUAUUGGUCAAUGGACGGAAGUCUGAACCAGCCAUGCCGCGUGCAGGAAGACGGCUCUAUGAGUUGUAAACUGCUUUUGUACAAGGUUAAACCUGAAUACGUGUAUUCAGCUGCAAGUACUUUACGAAUAAGGAUCGGCUAACUCCGUGCCAGCAGCCGCGGUAAUACGGAGGAUCCAAGCGUUAUCCGGAUUUAUUGGGUUUAAAGGGUGCGUAGGCGGAUUGAUAAGUUCGAGGUGAAAUGUCUGAGCUUAACUCGGGAACUGCCUCUAAUACUGGUGAGCUAGAGAGUAGAUGAGGUAGGCGGAAUGUAUGGGGUAGCGGUGAAAUGCUUAGAGAUCAUACAGAAAACCGAUUGCGAAGGCAGCUUAACAAUAUAGAGCUGACGUUGAGGCACGAAAGCGUGGGGAGCAAACAGGAUUAGAUACCCCGAGUAGUC